CGGCGGAGCGGGGCGGACCUGUUGCGCUCGGCGGAGGGGAGCCCCGCUGCCCGCGCCCGAGGAAGAUCCGGUCUCCUGAAGCAAAGUUCUGUGACACUCAGACUCUGGUUACGAUAGCAGUCAGUGCACUACAGAACUUUGUCUCCGGGGGCUGCGGCGGCGGAGCGGCUCGCUCAGGUGGACACGUCACUGCUCCGCCGUGGCAGGCCCGGGGAGCGCCCGGCCCGGCCCCGCGCUCGGAUGAAAGCUGUGCCGCUGCUGCCCCUGGGCCUCCCGCGACCUUCUGUCGUCGGUGUCGGGGAUCGCGAUAGUGCGACGUCUGGGGGUCUGGAGGGUACUGGAGUGCGGUCAGUGCCUGACCUGAGCAUGGGCUUGAACAUGACACCGAACGUGGUGCUGGUGGAACUGAGCCGGGUGUGGGUGUGCUAACCUGCCAGGCACGGCUCCUGGUUGUGCUUUGUUCUGUGUGUGACAGAACCGUAGAUGAACUGAGGGCUGGGGCUGGAGAAAACACUUCAUACUUAAAGCAAAGAAGCUGUGACAUCAUGUUCUAUUGUGACUUCUAUGUAAGUUUGCUGUUUGAAUGCUUUGGUGUGGCCUGGUGGCAAUGAGCUUUCUUUCCUCUUUAGGAACCUUGCAAGUCCCCAGCUGCUGUCAAGUAAUAGUUACCUGAAUCUGAGUCUCUGCUUCUUCAGAAGUUGUGUGAUGUGCCUUGAGCCAGUGCUGCAGUGCUUGGUCCUCACCCCAAAGGGAGGGAGUGCUUUGGAAGGGCCAAUGGAACUCGUGCUUAUUGAUACAGUUCCAGCGUUCUGUACUAGAAACUUGUCACCUGUGUUACGAUUAACAUGGACAUAGGCUUUAAGGGCUGGGAAAGGCCUAGCUUGACUAAAUUCCACCUCAGUUAAGUUGAAGCUUGGCAGCAGUAAAAGAGCAGCCCUUUUCUCUUCAGAAACUUUGUGCAGUUAUUUAAUAUAUAAAUGCAACUGUGGAUCUCUGAGAUGGUGGGCAUCCUCAGCUGGUCAGCUCUGAACAUAGAGUAAUAGGAAAGGCAGGAAUUGCUGAAGAAUGGGUGGAGUAGGUAGCGCCAUUUCUAAAAUAUUAAUCAUUAUGUACAGUAGAGUUAGUGAGUGAGGCUCCUUUCACAGUGGCUGCAUUCUGUGGGAAGUUAGUUAUGCUACUUUGUGUGUGUGUGUAUAUAUAUAUAUAUAUACAUACACACAUAUGUAUGUGUGUGUGCUUGUCUGUGUAUAUAUAUAAACGUUAGGGGGCUCAUAUUCUGUUAGCUCUCUGUAGCUAAUCAUCCCCUUUGGGCUCACUGGAAACUUAAACUAACUUUUCUUUCCUGCCCAUCUGAAUGUGGAAGAUACAGCUAGAUUAUACACUUCAUGGAAUUGAGCUGGAAGCUGAAAUGCUAUUCUAAGUAGAUGUUUUUUAGCUCAAACUGUUUAAUCAGAGGGUAGGUAAAGUGAGGAGCACUUACUGUAUGGCAGCCCACGUGACCAGCUAGGGCUAUAUUUGGAUACUGGAGGUUUAAGGAAUCCUUUUUGCUAACCAUUUUUGGCCAAUUGCCUGCUGCUUUAUGUUGUGCAGUGUGUGACGUCUGCUAAAAAGGACUUGGAAGUGUGGUGUCUGCAACUGUUUAAUCAGUGUGGUUAUAGGGAAACACCUUGUAUUGCUGGGGCUGUAGUCCCACUAUAUUUAAUUUAGGGGUGGUUCCUGCCUAAUAGGAUAUGUAGUGCAAAUUGCAGCUUCCAGUUUUUGUACUACUAAAUAGACUUUCUGAGAGCAGUAGAUCUUAAAAAGAUUUUUCUCAGAUUUGCUGGCUAAAGCUGUGGAUGAUCAUAGAUCUGAAAACCCACAGAAAUGAGCACGUGUGUAUUCCUUCAGGGAAUGUGGCACAUUCAAAUUGUAGCUUAGUUCAGCGUAGCUUCAGCCUGGUUGUAACUUCAGAAUAGGGAUGAAUAACACGCUUGAAUCCAGCAGUGGUGCGAAGAAAGAGUUCAUCGCUUUUGGAGCCUGUUCUCUGCCUGCUUUAGCUCCAUGCUGCUCAAGCUGGGUAGCUGUGACAGUGAGGUGAGUACAGCUUGGCCUCCCAGUGGCCCUUGGCUUGUCCUUGCCGCAUGCCUGUGACACGCAGUGCCUCCUGUCCUACAAGUCCUACUGGAACAGUGACCUUUUGGUGGCACUUCUGCUUUGAUAUGGGAGAUCACGUGCCCUUAAGGAAGGACUAAAGAGCUCUACGCUUCAGGUUUUGUGCUUUAUUCUUGUCUUGAAAUGCGUUGGUCAUAAUGGUCCUCUGGCAGUGUAGGCUUCCUGGCCUUGUUACAACUUUGGCCAUCAGAACCAUGUACCAAAAAGCAAUGUGCUACGUGGUAUGUGCAGAUUUUGUUUUAUGCCAGCUCUUAUGUGAGGCACGUGAAAGAGCUUGAAGUGUGUGGCUGUACCUGGGGCCUUGUGUGGGGUGUAAAGGGUUCUGUCUUAUCCUUUAAGAGUGAUGUUUGUGGGAGAUGAUGUAGGAACAGGAAACAAAACAAGAAAACAACACCCCAUAACUGGUGAUGGUAUUUAAAAUAAAGUCUGAAUGUCAAACUACAUAACUGCAUUGAUAUGACUUAUUUUCCAGUGGCUUUUCAGCCAUUUCUCCGAGGUAACAAAUUGCUAGAGGCAUGUUCUAACCAGCUGCUUUACAUUUUAGUCCUUUUUGAAAACCUGAAGUGUCUGUUUAAUUGUGUCCCUUACUUAAUUGGAAGAGCAGCAAAUGAGCGUGCUGAGUAAAUCACACAAAUUUCCAUCAAGCCCUUCAUUUGAAGGGGCAGAAUCCCAAGAAAUGAUACCAACCCAAGAAAUGAUACCAACCUAUUUAUUAUUUUGGAAGCUGGAGAACAGGAAAGGAGCUUGCUGUCAAAUACUCUGAAAGUGAAAGCUGAAUGCAUCUGCUAUGGCCCAAGGGAAUAUAGACUGAAGGCAAGCUGCACAGCCUGUGUGUACUUAGUCUCAGGAUGCUACUGGGCAUGAUGCAUUGAGGACAAUUCUUGUGACUUCCAGAGAUUACACUUUAUGCUGGUGAAUUUUUAAGCACAAAUAUAACACUUCCAUCUGUAGCCUAAAAAUGCUGUAGAAAGUGGUGAAAAGAAUAAAUUUUGUACAUGUGCUUUCAUUGAACUAAACUGUACUGCUUCACUAAAAACAGAAGUAAACUUGCUGACUUCUAGCAACUGUAUGAUAAACAAUUUAUAAAUAGACCAUAGGGUCCAGUGAAAUACAAACAAAGUAUUGGAAGUCAUGAGCUGACUCCAAAAAGAAGUGACACUGGGAUGUUUAUAUCUGUUGCCUGGGCAGCUAUGUUCAAGAAACAUCUCUGGGUCCAGUCAAACUGAAGCACUGUGGAAGCUCACUCAGAACGGGCUAUGUGACUGUGGCUGUGUUUCAGUGGGUUGUGGAGUUCCAUUUGUUUGGCUUUCAGCAUUAGUGAUGGCCCUUUCUCUGAGUCUUAAGGAAAGCAGGAUGGAAGUGCUCUGCAGGGUACGUGUUACCCACACAAGGCUGUGUGUGCCAGCAUUGUCAGCUGCAGAAUGGGAAGCAGAGCUGUUGCAGCCAUGGAGUACUUCAGUAGUACCUCUUGCCUCAUAGCUGGAGGAGGCCAAACUGCUUCUGGGGCAGUGAGUUGAGAGUGUGUGGGCUCUUGGUGCAAACUGGAACUGCUAUGCAAUCCCAAGCUUAUUUUCUGCUUUAUUUUGGGAGGGAAGUGGCAUUUGCAAAAAAACAAAAAAUCUAUUUUCUUGCUUUCUGCAACAGGCUAGAAAAUCAACUACAUUUAAUUGUGCUUACUGUACUCCAGAAAUAACCUUUUAUGUGAUUGAGCUUUAUUUGUUGAAUUACUGGUGCUGAUGGUAUUGAAAAUAGCUCAGUGCAGCUGAACCUAUAUUUAAGGCACAAGGUGUUGUACUGAAACCUCACUGUAAUUAACUGCAGACUGAGGGAGCUGGAACUUGGCUUCAUAUAGCCAACACAAAAGUAAUUACAUGCUGGAUUAUACCAGCAUAACUUUCACAAGUAAGCAUACAAAGUCCUGUGCUUUAUGAAUAAAAAGCAUUAAGCUGCUGA
Long non-coding RNA from Tympanuchus pallidicinctus (lesser prairie-chicken), 4104 nucleotides. RefSeq lists it as uncharacterized. Lineage: Eukaryota; Metazoa; Chordata; Aves; Galliformes; Phasianidae. The transcript has 2 exons. The record is from RefSeq and is a predicted model, not a curated record.